AUCAGGUAGGAUUACCCGCUGAACUUAAGCAUAUCAAUAAGCGGAGGAAAAGAAACUAACAAGGAUUCCCUUAGUAACGGCGAGUGAAGCGGGAAAAGCUCAAAUUUGGAAUCUGACGUCUUUUCGGCGUACGAGUUGUAAACUAGAGAGGCGUUUUCGGCGGGCGCCUGGGUAUAAGUCCUCUGGAACUGGGCAUCAUAGAGGGUGAGAAUCCCGUCUUUGACCCGGAGCAGCCUGCUAUGUGAUACGUCUUCAAAGAGUCGGUUUGUUUGGGAAUGCAGACCAAAAUGGGUGGUAAAUUCCAUCUAAAGCUAAAUACAGGCGAGAGACCGAUAGCGAACAAGUACCGUGAGGGAAAGAUGAAAAGUACUUUGAAAAGAGAGUUAAACAGUACGUGAAAUUGUUGAAAGGGAAACGAUUGAAGUCAGUCAUGCUAGUGAGGAAUCAACUUGGUGGUUUACUUCUUUGUGCAUUUUCUCGCUUGGCAGGUUAGCAUCAAUUUUGGUUGUCAUCAAAGAAUUGGGGGAAUGUGGCUUUUCUUCGGUAAAGUGUUAUAGACUCUGAUUGAUGUGGCGACUGGGAUUGAGGUUUGCAGCGGAUGCCUCUUGUGGCUAGUCACCUGUCUUCUGACCGUCACCUCGUUUUUGACAGCUUGCUGAUGAUUGCGGGAUUUGGCGAUCUAGGAGUUAGAGUGAAUAUAAAUUCGCUAAGGAUGCUGACGUAAUGGCUUUAAACGACCCGUCUUGAAACACGGACCAAGGAGUCUAACAUGUGUGCGAGUGUU
RNAcentral lists this ribosomal RNA (784 nucleotides) under uncultured Acaulosporaceae. RNAcentral's name for it is "eukaryotic LSU rRNA". It matches the Rfam family "Eukaryotic large subunit ribosomal RNA", at positions 10 to 694 of the family's 3401-position model. The record is from RNAcentral. Lineage: Eukaryota; Fungi; Glomeromycota; Glomeromycetes; Diversisporales; Acaulosporaceae.